AGAGUUUGAUCCUGGCUCAGGACGAACGCUGGCGGCGCGCUUAAUACAUGCAAGUCGAGCGAGAACCAUGGCUUCGGCCGUGGGGACAGCGGCGAACGGGUGAGUAACACGUGGGUAAUCAACCCCCGACACUGGGAUAGCCCGGGGAAACCCGGAUUAAUACCGGAUGCUCCGUCUGGCCCGAGGGCCGGCCGGAAAAGGGUAGCUUCGGCCUCCGGUCGGGGACGAGCCCGCGGCGGAUUAGCUUGUUGGUGGGGUAACGGCCCACCAAGGCGACGAUCCGUAGCUGGUCUGAGAGGACGAUCAGCCACACUGGGACUGAGACACGGCCCAGACUCCUACGGGAGGCAGCAGUAGGGAAUCUUGCGCAAUGGGCGAAAGCCUGACGCAGCGACGCCGCGUGAGGGAAGAAGGCCUUCGGGUUGUAAACCUCUUUCAGGAGGGACGAAGCUACUCGGGUUAAUAGCCCAGAGGGUGACGGUACCUCCAGAAGAAGCCCCGGCUAACUACGUGCCAGCAGCCGCGGUAAUAC
Molecule: ribosomal RNA, 532 nt
Filed under: uncultured bacterium
Lineage: Bacteria
Description: bacterial SSU rRNA
Rfam family: Bacterial small subunit ribosomal RNA
Source: RNAcentral